Acinonyx jubatus (cheetah) is the source of this 2946-nucleotide long non-coding RNA. RefSeq lists it as uncharacterized. The record is from RefSeq and is a predicted model, not a curated record. The transcript is spliced from 3 exons. NCBI's taxonomy places the organism in Eukaryota, Metazoa, Chordata, Mammalia, Carnivora, Felidae.
CCUCCUGCAGUGGGUUGAACGAUGUUCUUCCCCAACCUCCCUCCCCCCCCCCCGCCCCGCCAAAGACAUGACUACAAAUAAUUAAGGAUCUCAAGAUAAGAUCAUUCUGGAUUAUCCAAAUUGCCACUGACUCCAAUGACAAACGAGUGUCCUUAAAAGAGACAAGAGAACAGCAGAGGGGAACACGCAGAGGAGAGGGGGCCACGUGAAGACAGAGGCAGAGGUCGGAACAAGGCAGCCACGAGGCGAGGAAGGCUUGGGGCCACCGGAAGCUGGAAGAGGCAAGGAAGGGUCCUUCCCCAGAGCCUUCGGAGGGAGCGCGGCCAUGCUGACCCCUCGAUUUGGGACCUGAAGCCUCCAGAACAGCGGGAGAAGACAUUUCUGUUGCUCCAAGCCAUCAAGUUUGUGGUAAUUUGCUACAGCGGUCCUAAGAGACCCAGACACCGACGCACAGACACGCGCACACACGGUUAUGCCCCCCAAAAGAAUUGCAGAAAGAAAACUAAGUAGGGAGAAAUACCCAUAUCCUGGUACUUCAGCUUGUGAAAACCUCGCGUGCGCAGAAAAGCCCCGUCUUCCCUACCUGAGGGAGGGAUCCCUGGGAGGAAUUGAUUCUCUCCAGGUCUCUUUCUUUGCUCCCUCUCCCGGGUCAGAGAAAGGCCGCUGGAUUCACUCAGCUGCUUUAAACAGUUGCCCGCUUGUUUUGCUUCCAAACUCACGUGCUCUCUCAAUCACAGGGGAGCCUGGCUGAACAAAGCCUGACAUGUCCUAGCUCUUGGGUCUGUGCCUGGAAUCGACAACCCUCACCAGGCAGACUGAACAAAACUCCCAGGAUGUCCCCGAAGAAUUCCCUCGGCUGCCUGGCUAUGGCCUCCCUUCCUUCCCUCCCCUGAAGACAGCGCAGCGUGUCUGGAGGCUCCAUGGUGAGCGAAGAAUGUUCUCCAAGUGGAAUCAUACAGGCUGCCUCCAUAGCCCUGGUGGCUGCAGGAGGUCAAGGUCAAGGUGCACCCCCGCCCCAGCUCUGGAUAACCCAACUUUAAGAAAGGGUAGUCAGGGGUGUGGGGCAGCUUUGUUUACUGCCCCAAAGCGAAGCUUUCCUGAAGCCCAGGGCCCUCUCGAUGCGCUGGCCUCCAGGCCUGACCACCGUAGUGUUCCAAGGGGGACUUCAGAUCUUGGCACGCUCCGUGGGUACACCAGUUCCUGUGAACUGAGACGUCCGUGUAGUUUGGAACGAAAGGGCAUCAUGCUUUCAUGGUAGAGGUGGUGACCUUCCACAGCGGGGACGUUACCAGCCAAGGUAUCAACACAACUGGAAUGGAAUCUCUCUCCAGCUUCAGGUUUGAUAUAAUGAACUACAUGGAAGUGAGACAUCGUGUGUUUCUACCUCUAAAAUGUUUGAAUCAGCAAGUGUCCUUGUAAAUAAGAAGUUGACUUUUCGAGAGGAUUUUACUACGAACAUGCUUAUUGCAAACGCAUUUCCUUUAUUACGCCUUCACAGAAGACCCAACUGAUAUUAAUGAUUUUCCUACUUCAUAUCCCACGAGUUGUAUGGAAACCAGGAAACAGGGUCAGGAUAAAUGAGAAGUCAAAAAAAAAAAAUUGAAUUCUGGAGCUGGGCCGUGCGUGUUCUGGAGGUAUUUACACUCUGCAAAGAGUGACGCUCUUCUCUGCGCUGUGUGCAUCUAUAAAUCAUAUUUCAAAUUCCGCACCAAAUGAACUUAUCAACAGCCUUUGCUCAUGGCGUUCAUUGCCUCUGACAGAUCUAUCCCCCAGCUGGUGUUGAUUUCUCCCUGCACUGCGGGGAGAUCAUUAAUCUUGUAUGUUCUUUCACUCUGUGUGUUUUUUUUCUCUACUGAGAUUUUAAAACAGAUUGUGCCUGUUUCCACUGACCUUUGAGAGAUUUGUCAUGUGUCCUUUUUUUAAACAGGCUGUGUAAAAGCCAAUUCCUUGAGUGUAGCGGGGGUCACGGGCAGUAAUUCUGCCACCAGGGUGGUAGCCUUGAUUUUGUCAUCCUUCCCUACAGAAGAAUCAGGGCGAGGCCACCGCCACAGAAGCAUUUAUUAUUAAGCGUCUGAAGAGAUGUUCUGGAACCAUCCUGAUUAGCGAUUCUUCUCCGGGCCUGGUGAAGUCACUUCAUCCUGCCUCCUGAGCUGCACUGAUAAGGCACGGCAGAUGCCGGCAGCCCCAGACUGACUGCCAAUGCCAAGGGAGAAGGGGAUUCCUGAGGAGCCCCACUGCCCCUGCGGACGUCUGUCCUUGAACCUCGUACUGGGCAGUUCUGUCCGCUGCCCAGAGAGGAAGGAUUGUAUCUGCACAAGCCGCGAAGAGAAGGGCAGUAGAAUUAUCUAGUGAAGACAGGUGUUGGUAGAGAUAACAGUGCUUGUGGAUGAAAGAGUGGGUAUAGACAACCCACUGUGGGCUCAGGAAGCGCUUCCUUCUCCGUGGCUGGUUGUUUCCUUCUGAAUUCUUUAGGACAUUAUUUAAAGUGCCCGUUUUAGAUAAAGUUGCCAUUUGCUCCAGUGAAAGGACUUUGGCUUUGGUAUCAUUCCUUACAAGUGGUAAGGACUCAACAUUCGUGGAAGGUUUACGCUGCUUCUCACCCCACAUGGAAGCCCUUUGUAGGAUUCAAAGCAAGUGAGGACAAGCCUUCAGAGAAAAAGAGGCCACAUGCCCGUCAGACUCGGUCCCCUACCAAAUCUCUCUUGCCCGUUCCAUGUACCCAGGGCCUGUGAGUGGGAGGCGACCGCCGGGCGACCGCUCUGUAUGCGACAUUGAACUCUCCUUCUGCCCACAUCUGGUGCAGCCACCCAAUGAAGACGCUGCUUUUCCACCUUUACAAAUUCAAGUUGCACCCUCCUCCCAUCCUCAAUCAUGAUACCUUACUUGGACUCUUCCAAUCACAGACAUGGCUCUUUGCUUUCUGGUUUCUAUCCUUUCUUCUUCUUU